CUAUACAUGCAAGUCGAGCGAAUCUGAGGGAGCUUGCUCCCAAAGAUUAGCGGCGGACGGGUGAGUAACACGUGGGCAACCUGCCUGUAAGACUGGGAUAACUCCGGGAAACCGGGGCUAAUACCGGAUAAUAUCUAUUUAUACAUAUAAUUAGAUUGAAAGAUGGUUCUGCUAUCACUUACAGAUGGGCCCGCGGCGCAUUAGCUAGUUGGUGAGGUAACGGCUCACCAAGGCGACGAUGCGUAGCCGACCUGAGAGGGUGAUCGGCCACACUGGGACUGAGACACGGCCCAGACUCCUACGGGAGGCAGCAGUAGGGAAUCUUCCGCAAUGGACGAAAGUCUGACGGAGCAACGCCGCGUGAGUGAUGAAGGUUUUCGGAUCGUAAAACUCUGUUGUUAGGGAAGAACAAGUACCGGAGUAACUGCCGGUACCUUGACGGUACCUAACCAGAAAGCCACGGCUAACUACGUGCCAGCAGCCGCGGUAAUACGUAGGUGGCAAGCGUUGUCCGGAAUUAUUGGGCGUAAAGCGCGCGCAGGCGGUUCUUUAAGUCUGAUGUGAAAGCCCACGGCUCAACCGUGGAGGGUCAUUGGAAACUGGGGAACUUGAGUGCAGAAGAGGAAAGUGGAAUUCCAAGUGUAGCGGUGAAAUGCGUAGAGAUUUGGAGGAACACCAGUGGCGAAGGCGACUUUCUGGUCUGUAACUGACGCUGAGGCGCGA
This 723-nucleotide ribosomal RNA is filed under the name Cytobacillus kochii. RNAcentral's name for it is "bacterial SSU rRNA". It matches the Rfam family "Bacterial small subunit ribosomal RNA", at positions 49 to 756 of the family's 1533-position model. The record is from RNAcentral. Lineage: Bacteria; Bacillati; Bacillota; Bacilli; Caryophanales; Bacillaceae.